UUAUAAUUAAAUUAUUAUAAUAAAAUUUUAAAAGUAAUUUUUUUUUAUUAUUAAUUAGAAAAAUUAUUUAUAAUUAUAGUUUAUUAGUAAAGUGAUUGAAUUUUUUUGCUAUUAUCAAAGAAAAAUUUAUUUUUUGUACCUUGUGGAUCAGGGUUUAUUAAUUAUAAAUUAUAUAUUUAAUUUUCUUGAACUUAAAAGAGCUAAUUAGUUAUUUAUUUAAAUGUUAAAUAAUUUUUUUUGAUAAUUAUUUGGAAGUGAAACGUUAUUCGAUUUUAUAUAUCUAGUUUUUUAAGAAAAGAAUUUAAUUCUAUUGUUAUUUAUUAAGUAAUUUUUUUGCUAUUACUUAAGUUUUAACAUUAAAUAUUUAAUGGGAUGAGCUUUUAUUUAUAUUUUUAUAAUAAAAAUAUUUUUUAAUAUUUUGUAUAAUUUGAAUUGUUAAUCAUUAAUAAAUUAAUAUUUAGGUAUUUGAAUUAAAAGAUUUUUAUUUAUUUAAUUUUUUUAUUAAAAUAAAUUAAUUAAUUUUAAUUUUUUAUAAUUAUGAUAAAAUUAGUAAUAAUAAUAAUUCAUUUUUGUUAAAAUUUUCAAGAUUAAUAAAAGGAACUCGGCAAAAUUAUUUUCUGCCUGUUUAUUAAAAACAUGUCUUUUUGAUAAUAAUUUAAAGUCUAAUCUGCUCAAUGAAGUAAUUAAAUAGCCGCAGUAUUUUGACUGUGCGAAGGUAGCAUAAUAAUUAGUUUCUUAAUUAGGGACUUGUAUGAAUGAUUGAACAAGAAAAUUUCUGUCUCUUUUUAAUUUUUUUUUGAAUUUAAUUUUUAAGUUAAAAUGCUUAAAUACUUAUUAAAGACGAGAAGACCCCAUAGAGUUUUAUUUUUAUAAAUUUUUUAGUAUAAGUUUUUAAAUAAAAAUUAGUUGGGGUGACUUAAAGAUUAAAUAAACUCUUUAAAUUUUAAUCAUUUAUUUUUGAAUAUAAAGUCUAAUUUUAUUAAGUUUAAAUUAAAUUACCUUGGGGAUAACAGCGUAAUUUCUUUUAAGAGUUCUUAUCAAAUAAGAAGAUUGCGACCUCGAUGUUGGAUUAAAAUUUAUUUUAGGUGCAGAAGCUUGAAAAUUAAGUCUGUUCGACUUUUAAAAUUUUACAUGAUCUGAGUUUAAAUCGGCGUAAGCCAGAUUGGUUUCUAUCUUUAUAAAAAUUUAUUAUUUUAGUACGAAAGGACCAAUUUUUAAAUAAAUUAUUUAUUUUUUUAUAAAAUU
RNAcentral lists this ribosomal RNA (1245 nucleotides) under Diaphanes mendax. RNAcentral's name for it is "16S ribosomal RNA". The stretch from base 1006 to 1164 matches the Rfam family "Archaeal large subunit ribosomal RNA", at positions 2542 to 2701 of the family's 2987-position model. The record is from RNAcentral. Lineage: Eukaryota; Metazoa; Arthropoda; Insecta; Coleoptera; Lampyridae.